This 1546-nucleotide ribosomal RNA is filed under the name Cutibacterium sp. Its description in RNAcentral is "partial 16S ribosomal RNA". It matches the Rfam family "Bacterial small subunit ribosomal RNA". The record is from RNAcentral. Lineage: Bacteria; Bacillati; Actinomycetota; Actinomycetes; Propionibacteriales; Propionibacteriaceae.
UGACAACUAGGCACAGCGAGUCUUGGUUAGAGUUUGAUCAUGGCUCAGGACGAACGCUGGCGGCGUGCUUAACACAUGCAAGUCGAACGGAAAGGCCCUGCUUUUGUGGGGUGCUCGAGUGGCGAACGGGUGAGUAACACGUGAGUAACCUGCCCUUGACUUUGGGAUAACUUCAGGAAACUGGGGCUAAUACCGGAUAGGAGCUCCUGCUGCAUGGUGGGGGUUGGAAAGUUUCGGCGGUUGGGGAUGGACUCGCGGCUUAUCAGCUUGUUGGUGGGGUAGUGGCUUACCAAGGCUUUGACGGGUAGCCGGCCUGAGAGGGUGACCGGCCACAUUGGGACUGAGAUACGGCCCAGACUCCUACGGGAGGCAGCAGUGGGGAAUAUUGCACAAUGGGCGGAAGCCUGAUGCAGCAACGCCGCGUGCGGGAUGACGGCCUUCGGGUUGUAAACCGCUUUCGCCUGUGACGAAGCGUGAGUGACGGUAAUGGGUAAAGAAGCACCGGCUAACUACGUGCCAGCAGCCGCGGUGAUACGUAGGGUGCGAGCGUUGUCCGGAUUUAUUGGGCGUAAAGGGCUCGUAGGUGGUUGAUCGCGUCGGAAGUGUAAUCUUGGGGCUUAACCCUGAGCGUGCUUUCGAUACGGGUUGACUUGAGGAAGGUAGGGGAGAAUGGAAUUCCUGGUGGAGCGGUGGAAUGCGCAGAUAUCAGGAGGAACACCAGUGGCGAAGGCGGUUCUCUGGGCCUUUCCUGACGCUGAGGAGCGAAAGCGUGGGGAGCGAACAGGCUUAGAUACCCUGGUAGUCCACGCUGUAAACGGUGGGUACUAGGUGUGGGGUCCAUUCCACGGGUUCCGUGCCGUAGCUAACGCUUUAAGUACCCCGCCUGGGGAGUACGGCCGCAAGGCUAAAACUCAAAGGAAUUGACGGGGCCCCGCACAAGCGGCGGAGCAUGCGGAUUAAUUCGAUGCAACGCGUAGAACCUUACCUGGGUUUGACAUGGAUCGGGAGCGCUCAGAGAUGGGUGUGCCUCUUUUGGGGUCGGUUCACAGGUGGUGCAUGGCUGUCGUCAGCUCGUGUCGUGAGAUGUUGGGUUAAGUCCCGCAACGAGCGCAACCCUUGUUCACUGUUGCCAGCACGUUAUGGUGGGGACUCAGUGGAGACCGCCGGGGUCAACUCGGAGGAAGGUGGGGAUGACGUCAAGUCAUCAUGCCCCUUAUGUCCAGGGCUUCACGCAUGCUACAAUGGCUGGUACAGAGAGUGGCGAGCCUGUGAGGGUGAGCGAAUCUCGGAAAGCCGGUCUCAGUUCGGAUUGGGGUCUGCAACUCGACCUCAUGAAGUCGGAGUCGCUAGUAAUCGCAGAUCAGCAACGCUGCGGUGAAUACGUUCCCGGGGCUUGUACACACCGCCCGUCAAGUCAUGAAAGUUGGUAACACCCGAAGCCGGUGGCCUAACCGUUGUGGGGGAGCCGUCGAAGGUGGGACUGGUGAUUAGGACUAAGUCGUAACAAGGUAACCGAACCAAGACUCGCUGUGCCUAGUUGUCACGG